AUGUAGUCCAAGCAAAAAGAUUGUAUCUUACAGCCGUGUUACAUGUAGCAAACUUCAACUACUUGAAGACUGGGGGCUUCCACCCUGCACAAUGUGGAAAGGGUAAACUGUCAAGAGUAUUUGGGACAAGGGCAGAGAACCAUUGGAUCCUUUAGCAUUAGUAUCAGGAUGUAGGCACUAGGAGUUGUGUAGGUUCAUUUGCAAAAGCUGUUCACAAAUACAUUUUUCAGAAAAUUCAAGCAUGAUUUUUAACAAAAGUAGUGUUUCUUGGGUUGGCUAUUUAACAUUCAUGUCUAUUCUUUAAUUUAAUGCCUUGUAUUACAAAGGGGUUGAAAAUAAAAGUUAAGUCUCUGGCAUGGUGGAAUGAUGGAAUGCUGUCCUUGCUUUUAAGGCUUUAUAAAAAACAAAAUAGGCUUUUCCAUAAGUGGCCUUUAUGAAAACAUGGAAAACACUUCAUGUUUAAAACGACAGGGUGAAAAAAACCCAGUGAAAAUGAGUCACGUUUUAAGUGAUUCAGUUAAAGGGUUUGGGCUUCAGCAAGCAAACUAGUAUGCUGGAUAAUAAGGAAGUUGAGUGAAUUUUUUUUUUUUUUAAAUCUUACUAGACCAUUUUUUUGAAUGUCCCUCCGCCACAAAAAGG
This is a long non-coding RNA of Dermochelys coriacea (leatherback sea turtle), 639 nucleotides long. RefSeq lists it as uncharacterized. The transcript is spliced from 5 exons. Lineage: Eukaryota; Metazoa; Chordata; Testudines; Dermochelyidae. The record is from RefSeq and is a predicted model, not a curated record.